RNAcentral lists this unclassified non-coding RNA (300 nucleotides) under uncultured Sordariales. RNAcentral describes it as "sequence contains ITS1". The stretch from base 1 to 105 matches the Rfam family "5.8S ribosomal RNA", at positions 50 to 154 of the family's 154-position model. Lineage: Eukaryota; Fungi; Ascomycota; Sordariomycetes; Sordariales. The record is from RNAcentral.
GAAAUGCGAUAAGUCAUGUGAAUUGCAGAAUUCAGUGAAUCAUCGAAUCUUUGAACGCACAUUGCGCCCGCCAGUAUUCUGGCGGGCAUGCCUGUUCGAGCGUCAUUUCAACCAUCAAGCUUUAGGCUUGUGUUAGAGCCCUGCGGCUGUCCGCAGGCCGCUAAAUACAGUGGCGGGCUCGCUAUCACACCGAGUGCAGUAGUUUUCUUUCUCUCUCAGGGCGUGCUGUGGGAGCUAGCCGUAAAACCCCUUUUUCACAAGGUUGACCUCGGAUCGGGUAGGAAUACCCGCUGAACUUAA